CAAUAGCGUAUAUUAAAGUUGUUGCAGUUAAAAAGCUCGUAGUUGGAUUUCUGAUCGAGACAUCAGGUCGGGUCCGAGAGGAUCAUGUACUUUGAUUUUGUUUUGAUCAUCCUUGGGGAGAGCAUUUCUGGCAUUCAGUUGUCGGGAUUGGGAUCCUCAUCGUUUACUGUGAAAAAAUUAGAGUGUUCAAAGCAGGCCUCGGCCUCUGAAUACAUUAGCAUGGAAUGAUAAGAUAGGACUUUGGUGGUCUAUUUUGUUGGUUUGCACGCCAAAGUAAUGAUUAAUAGGGAUAGUUGGGGGUAUUCGUAUUCAAUUGUCAGAGGUGAAAUUCUUGGAUUUAUGGAAGACGAACUACUGCGAAAGCAUUUACCAAGGAUGUUUUCAUUAA
RNAcentral lists this ribosomal RNA (388 nucleotides) under uncultured eukaryote. RNAcentral's name for it is "partial 18S ribosomal RNA". It matches the Rfam family "Eukaryotic small subunit ribosomal RNA", at positions 592 to 976 of the family's 1831-position model. The record is from RNAcentral.